GCCAGCCGCCGCGGUAACACCGGCAGCUCAAGUGGUAGCCGCUUUUAUUGGGCCUACAGCGUCCGUAGCCGGUCUGAUAAGUCUCUGGUGAAAUCCCACAGCUUAACUGUGGGAAUCGCUGGAGAUACUAUCAUAACUCGAGGUCGGGAGAGGCUGGAGGUACUCCCAGGGUAGGGGUGAAAUCCUGUAAUCCUGGGAGGACCACCUG
This 208-nucleotide ribosomal RNA is filed under the name Methanothermobacter sp. enrichment culture clone 3. RNAcentral describes it as "partial 16S ribosomal RNA". It matches the Rfam family "Archaeal small subunit ribosomal RNA", at positions 457 to 663 of the family's 1478-position model. The record is from RNAcentral. Lineage: Archaea; Methanobacteriati; Methanobacteriota; Methanobacteria; Methanobacteriales; Methanobacteriaceae.